RNAcentral lists this ribosomal RNA (416 nucleotides) under uncultured bacterium. Its description in RNAcentral is "bacterial SSU rRNA". It matches the Rfam family "Bacterial small subunit ribosomal RNA", at positions 1001 to 1414 of the family's 1533-position model. The record is from RNAcentral.
CCGAAAGGCAGGAGUGCCUGCAAGGGAGCGCGGAGACAGGUGGUGCAUGGCUGUCGUCAGCUCGUGUCGUGAGAUGUUGGGUUAAGUCCCGCAACGAGCGCAACCCUCACCUCUUGUUGCCAUCAGGUCAUGCUGGGCACUCUAGAGGAACUGCCCCGGUCAACGGGGAGGAAGGCGGGGAUGACGUCGAGUCAUCAUGCCCCUUACGUCCUGGGCUACACACGUGCUACAAUGGCCGGUACAAAGGGAUGCCACACCGCGAGGUAGAGCUAAACCCAAAAAGCCGGUCUAAGUUCGGAUUGGAGUCUGCAACUCGACUCCAUGAAGGAGGAAUCGCUAGUAAUCGCGUAUCAGCACGACGCGGUGAAUACGUUCCCGGGCCUUGUACACACCGCCCGUCACACCACGAAAGCCAG